UACUAUCGGAGUCACCACCAGUCAAAUC
Molecule: non-coding RNA, 28 nt
Filed under: Bombyx mori (domestic silkworm)
Lineage: Eukaryota; Metazoa; Arthropoda; Insecta; Lepidoptera; Bombycidae
Source: RNAcentral